RNAcentral lists this ribosomal RNA (479 nucleotides) under uncultured bacterium. RNAcentral's name for it is "partial 16S ribosomal RNA". It matches the Rfam family "Bacterial small subunit ribosomal RNA", at positions 28 to 507 of the family's 1533-position model. The record is from RNAcentral.
GAUGAACGCUGGCGGCGUGCUUAACACAUGCAAGUCGAGCGAGAAGUUUUGAAAAGAUUCUUCGGAUGAAAUUUAAAAUGGAAAGCGGCGGACGGGUGAGUAACGCGUAGGCAACCUGCCCCAUACAAAGGGAUAGCAUUUGGAAACGAAUAUUAAUACCUUAUGAAACUUAACUAGUGCAUGCUAGGUAGGUCAAAGAUUUAUCGGUAUGGGAUGGGCCUGCGUCUGAUUAGCUAGUUGGUGAGGUAACGGCUCACCAAGGCGACGAUCAGUAGCCGACCUGAGAGGGUGAACGGCCACAUUGGAACUGAGACACGGUCCAAACUCCUACGGGAGGCAGCAGUGGGGAAUAUUGCACAAUGGGGGAAACCCUGAUGCAGCAACGCCGCGUGAACGAUGAAGGCCUUUGGGGCGUAAAGUUCUGUUCUAGGUGAUGAAAACUGACAGUAACCUAGGAGAAACCCCCGGCUAACUCCGUG